RNAcentral lists this ribosomal RNA (201 nucleotides) under uncultured Enterococcaceae bacterium. RNAcentral describes it as "partial 16S ribosomal RNA". It matches the Rfam family "Bacterial small subunit ribosomal RNA", at positions 140 to 334 of the family's 1533-position model. Lineage: Bacteria; Bacillati; Bacillota; Bacilli; Lactobacillales; Enterococcaceae. The record is from RNAcentral.
GGGAUAACACUUGGAAACAGGUGCUAAUACCGCAUAACAGUUUAUGCCGCAUGGCAUAAGAGUGAAAGGCGCUUUCGGGUGUCGCUGAUGGAUGGACCCGCGGUGCAUUAGCUAGUUGGUGAGGUAACGGCUCACCAAGGCCACGAUGCAUAGCCGACCUGAGAGGGUGAUCGGCCACACUGGGACUGAGACACGGCCCAG